Meleagris gallopavo (turkey) is the source of this 448-nucleotide non-coding RNA. NCBI's taxonomy places the organism in Eukaryota, Metazoa, Chordata, Aves, Galliformes, Phasianidae. The record is from RefSeq and is a predicted model, not a curated record.
UUUUCAAAGGAGCAAGUAGUUGUUAAUCUCCAGAACCAACUUCUGCAGUGUGAAUGGCUUUCCUGUAAACUGUUCUGGUGCAGUUAGAAGCUGAUGAUCUUGGAGUUAAUUGGCAAUUUCAGAGAAUUUGGAGAGGAGACCUUGGAAGCCUUUUAGAAGGUAUCGUUUGGACAGAAAAUAGUGCACCCAUGGAACAGCAAACUCCCAGCUCUUCCAAUCUUCUGGCGAAUGGAAAUGAAAAAAAAUUUGAAUGUGAUUACUGUACACUUGCAGUGUGAUUUUGUGAAUGUAAAACAAGGAUUGAGAAAAGGGGGUUUUGUUGCUUUGUGUGUGUGUGUGUGAUUCAGACAUCCCAUUUCUGUUUUUCUAUUGCAUUUUGACAUCUACGCCCAAGGCAGAGUGGGAGGUAGAGAACUACGGAGAGAGUAAAGGCUGCAGAAAGUUAAAA